GUACACAUGAUGAGAACACGUGGAAUAAGUGUUAGCAAUAGCACCUGAUUCUAAUGAGGAUCCUCCAUACUGCCUUCCUUCUGAGAUCUAC
Small nucleolar RNA from Amblyraja radiata (thorny skate), 91 nucleotides. RefSeq annotates it as small nucleolar RNA U83B. The record is from RefSeq and is a predicted model, not a curated record. The transcript has a single exon. Lineage: Eukaryota; Metazoa; Chordata; Chondrichthyes; Rajiformes; Rajidae.